This 504-nucleotide small RNA is filed under the name uncultured Glomus. RNAcentral describes it as "SSU rRNA". It matches the Rfam family "Eukaryotic small subunit ribosomal RNA", at positions 569 to 1078 of the family's 1831-position model. The record is from RNAcentral. Lineage: Eukaryota; Fungi; Glomeromycota; Glomeromycetes; Glomerales; Glomeraceae.
AGCAGCCGCGGUAAUUCCAGCUCCAAUAGCGUAUAUUAAAGUUGUUGCAGUUAAAAGCUCGUAGUUGAAUUUCGGGACCAAUAUGUUGGUCGUGCCUCGGUACGUACUGGCAUUAUUGAUUUCUCCCUUCUGAUGAACCAUGAUGCCAUUAAUUUGGUGUUGUGGGGAAUCAGGACUGUUACUUUGAAAAAUUAGAGUGUUUAAAGCAGGCUCACGCUUGAAUACAUUAGCAUGGAAUAAUGAAAUAGGACGUUUGAUUCUAUUUUGUUGGUUUCUAGGAUCGACGUAAUGAUUAAUAGGGAUAGUUGGGGGCAUUAGUAUUCAAUUGUCAGAGGUGAAAUUCUUGGAUUUAUUGAAGACUAACUACUGCGAAAGCAUUUGCCAAGGAUGUUUUCAUUAAUCAAGAACGAAAGUUAGGGGAUCGAAGACGAUCAGAUACCGUCGUAGUCUUAACCAUAAACUAUGCCGACUAGGGAUCGGAUGAUGUUAAUUUUUAAUGACUCA